RNAcentral lists this ribosomal RNA (439 nucleotides) under uncultured bacterium. RNAcentral describes it as "partial 16S ribosomal RNA". It matches the Rfam family "Bacterial small subunit ribosomal RNA", at positions 339 to 795 of the family's 1533-position model. The record is from RNAcentral.
CUACGGGCUGCUCCAGUGGGGAAUAUUGCACAAUGGGCGAAAGCCUGAUGCAGCGACGCCGCGUGAAGGAAGAAGGUUUUCGGAUCGUAAACUUCUAUCAGCAAGGAGGAUAAUGACGGUACUUGACUAGGAAGCCCCGGCUAACUACGUGCCAGCAGCCGCGGUAAUACGUAGGGGGCAAGCGUUAUCCGGAUUUACUGGGUGUAAAGGGAGCGUAGGUGGUAAGAUAAGUCAGAUGUGAAAGCCUGGGGCUCAACCCCAGGACUGCAUUUGAAACUAUCUUACUAGAGUGCAGGAGAGGUAAGUGGAAUUCCUAGUGUAGCGGUGAAAUGCGUAGAUAUUAGGAGGAACACCAGUGGCGAAGGCGGCUUACUGGACUGUAACUGACACUGAGGCUCGAAAGCGUGGGGAGCAAACAGGAUUAGAUACCCUCGUAGUC